AGUCGUAACAAGGUUUCCGUAGGUGAACCUGCGGAAGGAUCAUUAACACAUUGUCCAUUUGAUGGUUGUGAGGUUCUCAUAUUAAAAAGGAUUCAUCCUUUGAGAUUUAGACCUCCAAUCAUUCAAACCUCUUAGUAAACUUGUUGAAGUCCUCAACAACAAUAUUAAAAACAUUGUUUCAUGAGUGUAUUUCAAAGAGUGAUAUCAAGAUCAAUGGUCUCUUUCGAGAUCAUUAGACUGAUGUUUACAUAUAAAACAUAAAAACCAAGACAACUUGUAACAGUGGAUACCUUGGUUCCCAG
RNAcentral lists this unclassified non-coding RNA (302 nucleotides) under fungal sp. RNAcentral describes it as "partial internal transcribed spacer region". The stretch from base 1 to 45 matches the Rfam family "Eukaryotic small subunit ribosomal RNA", at positions 1787 to 1831 of the family's 1831-position model. The record is from RNAcentral. Lineage: Eukaryota; Fungi.